GAACGCACAUUGCGCCCCUUGGUAUCCCGAGGGGCAUGCCUGUUCGAGCGUCAUUUCACCUCUCAAGCCUGGCUUGGUGUUGGGCGACGUCCCCUUUGGGGACGCGCCUCGAAACGCUCGGCGGCGUGGCACCGGCUUUAAGCGUAGCAGAAUCUUUCGCUUUGGAAGUCGGGGCCCCGUCUGCCGGAAGACCUACUCGCAAGGUUGACCUCAAAUCAGGUAGGACCACCCGCUGAACUUAAG
Molecule: unclassified non-coding RNA, 243 nt
Filed under: Cenococcum geophilum
Lineage: Eukaryota; Fungi; Ascomycota; Dothideomycetes; Gloniales; Gloniaceae
Description: sequence contains 5.8S rRNA gene
Rfam family: 5.8S ribosomal RNA (bases 1-53)
Source: RNAcentral